Molecule: ribosomal RNA, 86 nt
Filed under: Vibrio vulnificus
Lineage: Bacteria; Pseudomonadati; Pseudomonadota; Gammaproteobacteria; Vibrionales; Vibrionaceae
Description: partial 16S ribosomal RNA
Rfam family: Bacterial small subunit ribosomal RNA
Source: RNAcentral
GGACGCUCACCACUUUGUGGUUCAUGACUGGGGUGAAGUCGUAACAAGGUAGCGCUAGGGGAACCUGGCGCUGGAUCACCUCCUUA